This 73-nucleotide transfer RNA is filed under the name Euryarchaeota archaeon SM23-78. RNAcentral describes it as "tRNA-Gln". It matches the Rfam family "tRNA". From Rfam's summary of the family: Transfer RNA (tRNA) molecules are approximately 80 nucleotides in length. Their secondary structure includes four short double-helical elements and three loops (D, anti-codon, and T loops). Lineage: Archaea; Methanobacteriati; Methanobacteriota. RNAcentral also lists the same sequence under 1 other name. The record is from RNAcentral.
AGCCCUGUGGUGUAGUGGCCAAACAUAUCAGGCUCUGGACCUGGUGACCUCGGUUCGAAUCCGGGCAGGGCUA